AAGCCCCCAUUACUGUACAACAUCAUUAACCAAAAAUCCAUUCGAUAUGUUGUAAGACAAAAAAGCAUCUCAGACGGGAGAAAAAAAAAAAAAAAAAAAAUAAUCAGAAGAAAAACAAAAGGUCUUUCCACGAAAAGUGGAAAGACCUAAAAAUAAUCAGAAGAAAAACAAAAGGUCUUUCCACGAAAAGUGGAAAGACUUAAUA
Molecule: long non-coding RNA, 205 nt
Filed under: Mytilus galloprovincialis (Mediterranean mussel)
Lineage: Eukaryota; Metazoa; Mollusca; Bivalvia; Mytilida; Mytilidae
Source: RNAcentral